AUAAUGUGCUGUAGUAUAAUGUGUUGUAUUAUAGUGUAUUGUAGAAUAAUGUAUUGUAGUAUAAUGUAUUGUAGUAUAAUGUAUUGUAGUAUAAUGUGCUGUAGUAUAAUGUGCUGUAGUAUAAUGUAUUGUAGUAUAAUGUAUUAUAGUAUAAUGUAUUGUAGUAUAAUGUAUUGUAGAAUAAUGUAUUGUAGUAUAAUGUGCUGUAGUAUAAUGCAAUGUAUUGUAGUAUAAUGUGUUGUAUUAUAGUGUAUUGUAGAAUAAUGUAUUGUAGUAUAAUGUAUUGUAGUAUAAUGUAUUGUAGUAUAAUGUGCUGUAGUAUAAUGUGCUGUAGUAUAAUGUAUUGUAGUAUAAUGUAUUAUAGUAUAAUGUAUUGUAGUAUAAUGUAUUGUAGUAUAAUGUAUUGUAGUAUAAUGUGCUGUAGUAUAAUGUAAUGUAUUGUAGUAUAAUGUAUUAUAGUAUAAUGUAUUGUAGUAUAAUGUAUUGUAGUAUAAUGUAUUGUAGUAUAAUGUGCUGUAGUAUAAUGUAAUGUAUUGUCUAAAAAAUUGUCUCUUUCUGUUCCAUUUUAGACAAACAGCCCUUCACAUUCAGGGCUUUCCCCAACACCAGGUCGGUCUGUCUGUCUGUCUGUCGGCCUCCCUCCCUCUGUCUGUCUGUCAGCCUCCCUCCCUCCGUCCGUCCGUCCGUCUGUCUGUCUGUCUGUCUGUCUGUCGGUCUGGUCUGUCUGUCUGUCUGUGUAUUUACACCAUUAUUCUCAUGUAACUAAAUUAUAUAUACUCAUUAACCAGUCUAAUGACCUGUAUAUAUUCAUUAACCUGUCUAAUGGCCUGUAUAUAUUCAUUAACCAGUCUAAUGAUCUGUAUAUAUUCAUUAACCAGUCUAAUGAUCUGUAUAUAUUCAUUAACCAGUCUAAUGAUAUGUAUAUAUUCAUUAACCAGUCUAAUGACCUGUAUAUAUUCAUUAACCAGUCUAAUGAUCUGUAUAUAUACUCAUUAACCAGUCUAAUGGCCUGUAUAUAUUCAUUAACCUGUCUAAUGGUCUGUAUAUAUUCAUUAACCUGUCUAAUGGCCUGUAUAUAUUCAUUAACCAGUCUAAUGGUCUGUAUAUAUUCAUUAACCUGUCUAAUGGUCUGUAUAUAUUCAUUAACCUGUCUAAUGGCCUGUAUAUAUUCAUUAACCAGUCUAAUGGUCUGUAUAUACUCAUUAACUAGUCUAAUGUCCUGUAUAUAUUCAUUAACCUGUCUAAUGGUCUGUAUAUAUUCAUUAACCAGUCUAUUAACCAGUCUAAUGGCCUGUAUAUAUUCAUUAACCAGUCUAAUGGCCUGUAUAUAUUCAUUAACCUGUCUAAUGGCCUGUAUAUACUCAUUAACUAGUCUAAUGGCCUGUAUAUAUUCAUUAACCAGUCUAAUGGUCUGUAUAUACUCAUUAACCAGUCUAAUGGCCUGUAUAUAUUCAUUAACCAGUCUAAUGGUCUGUAUAUAUUCAUUAACCUGUCUAAUGGCCUGUAUAUACUCAUUAACUAGUCUAAUGGCCUGUAUAUAUUCAUUAACCAGUCUAAUGGCCUGUAUAUAUUCAUUAACCUGUCUAAUGGCCUGUAUAUACUCAUUAACUAGUCUAAUGGCCUGUAUAUAUUCAUUAACCAGUCUAAUGGCCUGUAUAUAUUCAUUAACCAGUCUAAUGGCCUGUAUAUAUUCAUUAACCAGUCUAAUGGCCUGUAUAUAUUCAUUAACCAGUCUAAUUCAUUAA
This 1745-nucleotide long non-coding RNA is filed under the name Oncorhynchus mykiss (rainbow trout). RNAcentral's name for it is "lncRNA (ENSOMYG00000068339.1)". The record is from RNAcentral. Lineage: Eukaryota; Metazoa; Chordata; Actinopteri; Salmoniformes; Salmonidae.